This 400-nucleotide ribosomal RNA is filed under the name uncultured bacterium. RNAcentral describes it as "bacterial SSU rRNA". It matches the Rfam family "Bacterial small subunit ribosomal RNA", at positions 355 to 746 of the family's 1533-position model. The record is from RNAcentral.
UAGGGAAUAUUGCGCAAUGGGGGAAACCCUGACGCAGCAACGCCACGUGAGUGAGGAAGGUCUUCGGAUUGUAAAACUCUGUUCUUAGGGAAAAAUGAUUUGGGAGCGAAUAGGUCUCAGAAGUGAUGGUACCUAAGGAGAAAGCACCGGCUAACUUCGUGCCAGCAGCCGCGGUAAUACGAAGGGUGCAAGCGUUGUUCGGAUUUAUUGGGCGUAAAGCGCGCGCAGGCGGGGCGGCAAGUCAGAUGUGAAAACUCGGAGCUUAACUUCGAACGUGCGUCUGAAACUACCAUCCUAGAGUAGCGAAAGGGGAAGGGGAAUUUCACGUGUAGGGGUAAAAUCCGUAGAGAUGUGAAGGAACACCUGGGGCGAAAGCGCCUUCCUUGUCGCUCACUGACGC